RNAcentral lists this long non-coding RNA (3489 nucleotides) under Sus scrofa (pig). RNAcentral describes it as "lncRNA (ENSSSCG00030073591.1)". The record is from RNAcentral. Lineage: Eukaryota; Metazoa; Chordata; Mammalia; Artiodactyla; Suidae.
UGUAAGAACAGGACAGCUUUAAAACCUUCAAUCCAAGUAAUUUUCAUCUUGAGAAGAUCCUUUUAUCACCAAGAGUAUCACGCUGUGAAUACUUAUCAUCUCAGCAGAGACACAUAGGAAAGAUGACAUCUUCCAGGGCUUGCAGGGGUGCUCUAUCUCCCUGGCCUCCAGGAGCCACCAGCAACUUGAGGGUAGGUGCUGAGGUACAACAGGGGGGUGAAAAAGUGAAGGGCAGCCUCUGAAAUGACUUCUGUGCUCAAUUUCAAUAGCAUUGCCUAAAGCAUAUAUGCUCCAAAGAGCUGACAUUCUAGGUUAUUUUUUGUAAUGUUUUAUUUUGCUUCCAAAUAUGGACUCUUAACAUUUAAAAAAAUGGUGGUGAAAUAUAUAUAGCAUAAAAUUUAUCCUUUUAACCAUUUUAAAGUGUUUAGUUCAAAGACAUUAAUAUAUUCAAAACGUGCAACCAUCACUACCAUCCACCUCCAGAACUUUUUCAUCUUUCCAAACUGAAACUCCGUACCCAUCACACAACAACGCUCCAUUCCCUGUCCUCCCAGCCCCUGGCAACCACCAUUAUACUUUUCAUCUCUAUGAAUUUUUAUACUCUAGGUAAUGCACACAAAUGGAAGCAUACAUUAUCUGUCCCUUUGUGCUUGGCUUAUUUCACUUAGCAUAAUGUUGACAGGGCUCAUCCAUGUUGUAGCUUGUGUCUGAACUUCAUUUCUUUUUAAGAUAAAAUAGUACUCCAUUGUCUGUGUAUGUCAUAUUUUGCUUAUCCAUCCAUCUACUUCAGACUGUGAUUGCUUCCAUCUUUCGGCCAUUGUGAAUAACGCUGCCAUGUACAAAUAUUUCUUUGAGUCCCUGCUUUCAAUGCAAUGCUUUUGGCUGUAUAUCUAGAAGUAAAAGUGCCAAAAAUGGACUCUUAAAAAUGGAAAGAUCCUGAGUAGUUCAUACAAUUUAUGCUGUCAACACACUGGAAGAGAAGGGGCAGAGGUGGAUGAUCCAGGAUCCUGAACCUAGUGGGACUGAUGGAGACAGUCACCCAGGGAGUGUGGGAAGGUGAGAGGGGCAGACUUGAUCUUUAAGAAGACCAAGCUAUUGUUGAGUUGAGGAUUAGAUCUUGAGAUUCUCCUUGGCAAGGUUAUAGUCAGCUUAGAGCAAGCUCUGGAAAGCGAAGCCAGGGCCAGCAACGCCAGGAGCCUUUCCAGUGCACACUAUCAGGCCUCCAUGCAGAGGAACCACACCAGCUCCUCUCCCCUCUGUGGCUGGUGAGGCCCUCCCGUGGGCAGCUCUGCCCCAGGUCCAAGAUAUCUGCUGCUCCUCCCAUGUGAGAAAUGGGAUGAUCCCAGAGUGUGCUGGGCUUCAAGCAGCUCUGGGAUAAUAAGGAUGGGAACAUUUCCUACAGCUUCCUGCAUUGAAAUGACCUUUGGAAGCCAAAUCAGACUUUGGGGUUUAACAUGUGGUUCAUAAGGGGCCCUAAAUGUGGCUCUGCUGUGUGUGUCUUAAAAGCCUUUGUGGGAGAGGGCAGAUGCAAUGAGCACAGAUUUGGAUGUCACAGCAAAGGCUUAAGAUUGUCACCCUUGAUGGCCUGGACUGAUCUGACCUGGCACCAGGGCCUCCCCUCCUUGGGACAGGCCCAGCAGUGUCCCAAGGACCUGCAUUUUUUGUUCCGUGCGGCCUCUCCCAUUAAGCAAUGACUACGGCACCCCCAGAUAAUGACCAGUUUUGGAAAGAUUAGCAUUCCACAUACUUGGUUAAAAAAGUUUUUAUGCAACCAGUGUUCUACUUUUUCCUAGAAUCUUUGCCUCUCUGAGGACUAGUCCUUUCUCUUGCAAAGUGAAGGAAGAAAGGGAUCCAAAUAAUAUUGGUCCAGAGUAACUUUUAAUUAGCAGCCUUAGCCAAGUGAUAAAGAUAUAUUACAUACUCUGAAGUUCUAUGAGAACCCACCCAAACUUCUGCUUUAUUGUCUAAAGGGCCCCUUCACAAAUACAGCAUUGGGCCUGGAUUUCAGGAGGAUUUAUGAGUCAGGGGCGAGCUGGGAGUUUGGCCCCAUGACAACUUGGAAGGUUUGCCCUUGAUUUGGAAAGAACAGCAGCCCAUGUUCUGAAUAGAGAGGGGGAAAGGGGGACAAAGUUCUCAGCUGAACACUAAUGAGACUAAGAUGAAACUGCUUCACAGAGAUGUCCAGCCAGCAGGGCCUGUGGUGGAUGAUUUGAGUACAGACUGUUACCCCCAGGAGGAGCCUGAUGGGGAUAAGUGGGAUGCUCACUUUAAGAGUAUCCAGGUAGCUCUCAUCAGAACCUUCCUUUCCCAGAAUUAAAAAAAAAAAAUCAAUCUGUAUGUAAAAUAAGCAUGCUCUUGUUGAGUGGCAACAGAAGACACUGAUUUUCAUGUAUCUUGGAGCUAAAAUAUAAAUAAAAAGGAUGGAAAUGUCUUUGAUUUACAAAGCAGUAGAAAAAAAUCCUGCUUUAGGAAUUGAGGUAAAUGUAACUAGCUUUGGCUCCGCCUCAACCUUGGCUUUUCAAAACUAGAGAGUGUUCUACCCAUUGAGCCCUCUGCUUUCUCAUUUCAUAAUGGGGUAGGAAAGUGGGAGAUGGCUAGGUUAGAUGUCUCUUGCUCAUGAUCCAGAGGGCUUCAAGGGUCUUGUGAACCAUCCAGAAUAGUUUGCAGUAUGUAUAUAUCUUUAUGCUAUGGGCAUUUUUCUGGGGAAGCUCAUUGCUUUGGUCAUAUUCCCUAAAGCAGUCUUUGGUUUUCCAAAUGUUAAGAACUCCUGAACUGGAUACCUAAACACCUUAAUCUUUGAAUAUGCUGUUACACAUCAGUGAUUCUAAGGUUAUUCUGGUAUAUUCUCUUGGGGGGGGAAGCUGUGAUUCUCUAAAUCUAUUACGUUUUCAUGGUAAUGUGAGGACAGUUGGAGAUACAUGUUCUGGUCCAUACUUGUUUCCUAGUCUCGGCUGGGCUUUUGGGGGAAAAAUAAUUAAGGAAUGAAUCUUAAGUCUGUCUAAUCUCCCCAGUUCCUGAUCUGCCUGUUCAUCCCACCCCCGAGGGUCACAGCCCCAUUGUGAAGCCCAAGCAGGUUUUGGCUCAACAUCUGUGCUGUGGGGUGCCUUUCACUCUCGCUCCAGCCCUCCACCCAGAUAUGCCCAUUUGCCAUCCCAUUCCAGUCCCUAAACCACUGACUGUAACUGAAAAGCUAAAUGGAGGAGUUCCCGUCGUGGCGCAGUGGUUAACGAAUCUGACUAGGAACCAUGAGGUUGCGGGUUCGGUCCCUGCCCUUGCUCAGUGGGUUAACGAUCCGGCGUUGCCGUGAGCUGUGGUGUAGGUCGCAGACAAGGGAUCCCGCGUUGCUGUGGCUCUGGCGUAGGCCGGAUUCAACCCCUAGCCUGGGAACCUCCAUAUGCUGCAGGAGCGGCCCAAGAAAUAGCAACAACAACAACAACAACAAAACAACAACAAAAAAGACAAAAGACAAAAAAAAAAAAAAAAAAAAAA